UUACUUACUUAAAUGGGGUCAAUAAGUGAUUACGAAGGUCCAUAACCUAGACAAGUGACCUCUACUACACUCACAUGGAGUGCAAACUUAUGGUUUAUCUAAGAUGUGGAGCGUGCAUUAUAAUUUGUUGCAGUGGGGUCUGCAUUUACGCGGCUCUUU
Small nuclear RNA from Medicago truncatula (barrel medic), 159 nucleotides. RefSeq annotates it as U1 spliceosomal RNA. The transcript has a single exon. NCBI's taxonomy places the organism in Eukaryota, Viridiplantae, Streptophyta, Magnoliopsida, Fabales, Fabaceae. The record is from RefSeq and is a predicted model, not a curated record.